GCUGUAGCUCAGUGGUAGAGCAUCUGCUUUGCACAUCGAAGGUCCCAGGUUCAACUCCUAGCAUCACUG
Molecule: non-coding RNA, 69 nt
Organism: Podarcis lilfordi (Lilford's wall lizard)
Lineage: Eukaryota; Metazoa; Chordata; Lepidosauria; Squamata; Lacertidae
Source: the annotation of a GenBank genome assembly